AGAGUUUGAUCAUGGCUCAGGACGAACGCUGGCGGCGUGCUUAACACAUGCAAGUCGAACGGAAAGGCCCUUCGGGGUACUCGAGUGGCGAACGGGUGAGUAACACGUGGGUGAUCUGCCCUGCACUUUGGGAUAAGCCUGGGAAACUGGGUCUAAUACCGAAUAUGACCACGCGCUUCAUGGUGUGUGGUGGAAAGCUUUUGCGGUGUGGGAUGGGCCCGCGGCCUAUCAGCUUGUUGGUGGGGUAAUGGCCUACCAAGGCGACGACGGGUAGCCGGCCUGAGAGGGUGACCGGCCACACUGGGACUGAGAUACGGCCCAGACUCCUACGGGAGGCAGCAGUGGGGAAUAUUGCACAAUGGGCGCAAGCCUGAUGCAGCGACGCCGCGUGAGGGAUGACGGCCUUCGGGUUGUAAACCUCUUUCAAUAGGGACGAAGCGCAAGUGACGGUACCUAUAGAAGAAGGACCGGCCAACUACGUGCCAGCAGCCGCGGUAAUACGUAGGGUCCGAGCGUUGUCCGGAAUUACUGGGCGUAAAGAGCUCGUAGGUGGUUUGUCGCGUUGUUCGUGAAAACUCACAGCUUAACUGUGGGCGUGCGGGCGAUACGGGCAGACUAGAGUACUGCAGGGGAGACUGGAAUUCCUGGUGUAGCGGUGGAAUGCGCAGAUAUCAGGAGGAACACCGGUGGCGAAGGCGGGUCUCUGGGCAGUAACUGACGCUGAGGAGCGAAAGCGUGGGGAGCGAACAGGAUUAGAUACCCUGGUAGUCCACGCCGUAAACGGUGGGUACUAGGUGUGGGUUUCCUUCCUUGGGAUCCGUGCCGUAGCUACGCAUUAAGUACCCCGCCUGGGGAGUACGGCCGCAU
Molecule: ribosomal RNA, 867 nt
Filed under: Mycobacterium sp. TR-1242
Lineage: Bacteria; Bacillati; Actinomycetota; Actinomycetes; Mycobacteriales; Mycobacteriaceae
Description: bacterial SSU rRNA
Rfam family: Bacterial small subunit ribosomal RNA
Source: RNAcentral